GCCCGCCGUGGAAACUGGCAGUCUCGAGUUGGAGAGAAGUAUGCGGAAUGCGCGGGGUAGCGGUGAAAUGCAUAGAUAUCGCGCAGAACUCCGAUUGCGAAGGCAGCAUGCCGGCUCCACACUGACGCUGAGGCACGAAAGCGUGGGUAUCGAACAGGAUUAGAUACCCUGGUAGUCCACGCAGUAAACGAUGAAUGCUGGCUGUCCGGGGGGAUUGACCCCUGGGUGGCGAAGCGAAAGCGAUAAGCAUUCCACCUGGGGAGUACGCCGGCAACGGUGAAACUCAAAGGAAUUGACGGGGGCCCGCACAAGCGGAGGAACAUGUGGUUUAAUUCGAUGAUACGCGAGGAACCUUACCCGGGCUCAAACGGGGAGUGACUCAGGCAGAGACGCCUGUUUCCCACGGGACACUCCCCGAGGUGCUGCAUGGUUGUCGUCAGCUCGUGCCGUGAGGUGUCGGCUUAAGUGCCAUAACGAGCGCAACCCCCGCGUGCAGUUGCUAACAGAUAACGCUGAGGACUCUGCACGGACUGCCGGCGCAAGCCGCGAGGAAGGCGGGGAUGACGUCAAAUCAGCACGGCCCUUACGUCCGGGGCGACACACGUGUUACAAUGGGUGGUACAGCGGGAAGCCAGGCGGCGACGCCGAGCGGAACCCGAAAUCCACUCUCAGUUCGGAUCGGAGUCUGCAACCCGACUCCGUGAAGCUGGAUUCGCUAGUAAUCGCGCAUCAGCCAUGGCGCGGUGAAUACGUU
RNAcentral lists this ribosomal RNA (754 nucleotides) under uncultured bacterium. RNAcentral describes it as "bacterial SSU rRNA". It matches the Rfam family "Bacterial small subunit ribosomal RNA", at positions 619 to 1372 of the family's 1533-position model. The record is from RNAcentral.